UGUGGAGCUCAGUGGCAGGCCAUGUGCCUAUUGUGCACAGGGCCCUGGGUUUGAGCCCCAGCUUCACAA
This 69-nucleotide transfer RNA is filed under the name Marmota monax (woodchuck). RNAcentral's name for it is "tRNA.Asn". The record is from RNAcentral. Lineage: Eukaryota; Metazoa; Chordata; Mammalia; Rodentia; Sciuridae.